CCAAUACUCACUUUGGAUCAUCAGGUAGUUUCUGUUCCGUUAGUAGCUGUCAUGGCCUCUCCCACCAUCACGGUACCUUAGUUCCACAUAGCCAGAAGCCUCUAUGAGGACAUGGAAGAAGGAAGCUCGGCUCUCUGCCUGAUUGCUCUUGCCUCACCAGCAAGUCUAUUCCUUCACUGGCAUUAGAGCCUACUUCUUUGGGAUUCCAGGGUAUACUGAAGACCAGCUGAGACUUCCAGCCUCAUGGACUGAACAACUAUUGAAUUCUAGGACCUUCUAUUCAUAGGCAGCCAUUGUUGGAUUAGCUGAACCUCAGCCUUUCGGGAUACAGCCCACCAUGGCAGAGAAUCAGGGCAGCAGGAACUUGAAGCAGCUGAUCAUGUUGCACCACAGUCAGGAAGCAGAGAGCAAUGCAUGGUGGUGCUCAGCCCACUUUCUCCUUUUCAUAUGAUCCAGGAUCCCAACCCAGGGAAUGGAGCCACCCACAAUCCUGCUCAGAAAGUAAGGUGGAGAGUGACAGAAGAAGAUACCCAAAGCAGAGCUCUGGAUUGUAUAUGCGCAUGUGCAGGCAAGUGCACCCCUCUACACACUGACCUCCCUCCAUCCACAAGAACCUACCUGUUAUCACCAUAGCCUUGGGGAUAAGGAUCUCAACACGUGUGUUUGGGAGGGAUCAGAUGCCACCUUAGCACUUCCAUUCUGGAACUCAUGGUCUUCUGAAAAUGGGGAAGUGACACUCUAGGUCUUCUCAUUUCUCAUGGGCUGUGUGAGUCAUAAGUUCCUCUCUUGGAUGCAGGUUCUUAGAGUUUUCUCUUCCCAUCCUGCUUCCUUUACAAACUGGGGACAACAGGGAACCAGAUGGGCAAUGGCCCAGCCCAGUGGUGAGAGCUUCUCACCACUGAGUUGCUGCAAUUUCUGCUAAUUAAGAGAGAGAGUUUUGGGCAAAGAUGGGGGUAAAGAUUAGUUGCCACUUGAAAAUGCAGA
This is a long non-coding RNA of Peromyscus californicus insignis, 984 nucleotides long. RefSeq lists it as uncharacterized. The transcript is spliced from 4 exons. NCBI's taxonomy places the organism in Eukaryota, Metazoa, Chordata, Mammalia, Rodentia, Cricetidae. The record is from RefSeq and is a predicted model, not a curated record.